This 508-nucleotide long non-coding RNA is filed under the name Brassica napus (rape). RNAcentral describes it as "long non-coding RNA (BNAP_LNC006361)". The record is from RNAcentral. Lineage: Eukaryota; Viridiplantae; Streptophyta; Magnoliopsida; Brassicales; Brassicaceae.
AAUUUUUAACUCAAGUGAAAAUGAUUUAUAGCCAUUGUGUUAGAAGUCUCCAUUAUGAGUGGCUGAUGAGAUAUAUUUCAAACCUUACGGUAUUCAAGAAAAAAGGAACGUAAGUACUUAUAAAAGUCAACCCAAAACAAUUAGACCUUUUUAAUUUUUAAAAUGGUUAAAUUGUAAAUAUUAUUUGUUCGUAACAAAACAUAUAUAAAUGAUGUGAUUGGUUAAUCAAUAGAGUAAAAAGGUGGAAAAGAAAAGUGAAAGUAGGAUGAAACAAAACCAUGCCGUUGGCGUUAACUUUUCCACUUCAUCCAAGGUGAGAUAAACUUUACUCUACUUUAUUCUUAUUUUUGGAGUAUGGAAGAAUGAGAGUAAACCAGUUGAAGCUGAAAAGAUUUUUCAUCUUUUUCACUUUACACUAAUUAUACCAUACAGUCAGACUCAAAAUCUCAUAAUAAUAAGUUUAAAAUUUACAGAAAAUUAUUAAUACAUAAACAACUAAUUUGGUUAG